GACGAACGCUGGCGGCGUGCUUAACACAUGCAAGUCGAGCGGUAAGGCCCUUUCGGGGGUACACGAGCGGCGAACGGGUGAGUAACACGUGGGUGACCUGCCUUUAGCUCUGGGAUAAGCCUGGGAAACUGGGUCUAAUACCGGAUAUGACUCCAUGAUGCAUGUUGUGGGGUGGAAAGCCUUGUGCGGCUGGAGAUGGGCCCGCGGCCUAUCAGCUUGUUGGUGGGGUGAUGGCCUACCAAGGCGACGACGGGUAGCCGGCCUGAGAGGGCGACCGGCCACACUGGGACUGAGACACGGCCCAGACUCCUACGGGAGGCAGCAGUGGGGAAUCUUGCGCAAUGGGCGGAAGCCUGACGCAGCAACGCCGCGUGAGGAUGACGGCCUGUGU
RNAcentral lists this ribosomal RNA (391 nucleotides) under uncultured bacterium. Its description in RNAcentral is "bacterial SSU rRNA". It matches the Rfam family "Bacterial small subunit ribosomal RNA", at positions 28 to 421 of the family's 1533-position model. The record is from RNAcentral.